Molecule: ribosomal RNA, 769 nt
Filed under: Phelister sp. sangND9
Lineage: Eukaryota; Metazoa; Arthropoda; Insecta; Coleoptera; Histeridae
Also listed under: 1 other name
Description: SSU rRNA
Rfam family: Eukaryotic small subunit ribosomal RNA
Source: RNAcentral
CAAGGAAGGCAGCAGGCGCGCAAAUUACCCACUCCCGGCACGGGGAGGUAGUGACGAAAAAUAACGAUACGGGACUCAUCCGAGGCCCCGUAAUCGGAAUGAGUACACUUUAAAUCCUUUAACGAGGAUCAAUUGGAGGGCAAGUCUGGUGCCAGCAGCCGCGGUAAUUCCAGCUCCAAUAGCGUAUAUUAAAGUUGUUGCGGUUAAAAAGCUCGUAGUCGAAUCUGUGUCGUGCGCCGCCGGUUCAUCGCUCGCGGUGUCAACUGGCGUGUCGCAGGACGUCCUGCCGGUGGACUUAGCCGCGUCGUCGUCUCGCGCGGCGUCGUGGCGGUCCAACUUCAACAAUCCCACCGCGGUGCUCUUCGCUGAGUGUCGAGGUGGGCCGGCACGUUUACUUUGAACAAAUUAGAGUGCUUAAAGCAGGCUAAAAUUUCGCCUGAAUACUGUGUGCAUGGAAUAAUGGAAUAGGACCUCGGUUCUAUUUUGUUAGUUUUCGGAGCCCCGAGGUAAUGAUUAAUAGGAACGGAUGGGGGCAUUCGUAUUGCGACGUUAGAGGUGAAAUUCUUGGAUCGUCGCAAGACGGACUUAAGCGAAAGCAUUUGCCAAAAACGCUUUCAUUGAUCAAGAACGAAAGUUAGAGGUUCGAAGGCGAUCAGAUACCGCCCUAGUUCUAACCAUAAACGAUGCCAGCUAGCGAUCCGCCGACGUUCCUCCGAUGACUCGGCGGGCAGCUUCCGGGAAACCAAAGCUUUUGGGUUCCGGGGGAAGU